CAUAACUUUAAGCUAUGAUAUAUUUCUGUCACGAUCCCUAGUGAUCUUAAACAUAUGCUCAGAUUCCAAUUUGUCACAUUUUCCAAUAAUCUUAAACCUCAAACUUUAAUGCCACUAAGGCCACAGUCCCUAGUGGUCUUAAACCUUAGAUUAUAAUAUCAUUCUUGUUACAAUCUCAAGUGAUUAUAACCCAAAUCUCUGAUAGUUUUUCUAUCAUAAUUCUCCACUGAUACUCACCUGAACAUAAACCCUAAGAUACCUCAACCUUAAGCUCUGAUACCACUCUGUCACGCCC
Molecule: long non-coding RNA, 295 nt
Filed under: Phoenix dactylifera (date palm)
Lineage: Eukaryota; Viridiplantae; Streptophyta; Magnoliopsida; Arecales; Arecaceae
Description: long non-coding RNA (PDAC_LNC006387)
Source: RNAcentral